CAGUCGCCACGGUAAUACAUAGGUGGCAAGCGUUGUCCGGAAUUAUUGGGCGUAAAGGGCUCGCAGGCGGUUUCUUAAGUCUGAUGUGAAAGCCCCCGGCUCAACCGGGGAGGGUCAUUGGAAACUGGGAAACUUGAGUGCAGAAGAGGAGAGUGGAAUUCCACGUGUAGCGGUGAAAUGCGUAGAGGUGUGGAGGAACACCAGUGGCGAAGGCGACUCUCUGGUCUGUAACUGAUGCUGAGGAGCGAAAGCGUGGGGAGCGAACAGGAUUAGAUACCCCUGUAGUCCCUGUCUCUUAUAC
Molecule: ribosomal RNA, 301 nt
Filed under: uncultured bacterium
Lineage: Bacteria
Description: partial 16S ribosomal RNA
Rfam family: Bacterial small subunit ribosomal RNA
Source: RNAcentral